GGAAAAAGAAAAGAAGCGGAGGAUACAAUAUUAUAUAUAAACAAUGGAAUUCCAUUGUUUAUAUAUAAUAUUGUAUUCUCCGCUUCUUUUCUUUUUCCAUU
Non-coding RNA from Pelobates cultripes (western spadefoot toad), 101 nucleotides. The record is from the annotation of a GenBank genome assembly. Lineage: Eukaryota; Metazoa; Chordata; Amphibia; Anura; Pelobatidae.